GACGAACGCUGGCGGCGUGCCUAAUACAUGCAAGUCGAGCGAACAGAGAAAGUGCUUGCACUUUCAAAGUUAGCGGCGGACGGGUGAGUAACACGUAAGGAACCUACCGAUAAGCGGGGGACAACAUCCGGAAACGGGUGCUAAUACCGCAUAGGAAGUUUGUUCGCAUGAACAAACUUAGAAAGAUGGCUCUGCUAUCACUUAUCGAUGGCCUUGCGGUGCAUUAACUAGUUGGCGAGGUAACGGCUCACCAAGGUGAUGAUGCAUAGCCGACCUGAGAGGGUAAUCGGCCACAUUGGGACUGAGACACGGCCCAAACUCCUACGGGAGGCAGCAGUAGGGAAUCUUCCGCAAUGGACGCAAGUCUGACGGAGCAACGCCGCGUGAGUGAAGAAGGUUUUCGGAUCGUAAAACUCUGUUGUAAGAGAAGAACAAAUUGUAGAGUAACUGCUACAGUCUUGA
Molecule: ribosomal RNA, 462 nt
Filed under: Aerococcus christensenii
Lineage: Bacteria; Bacillati; Bacillota; Bacilli; Lactobacillales; Aerococcaceae
Description: bacterial SSU rRNA
Rfam family: Bacterial small subunit ribosomal RNA
Source: RNAcentral